RNAcentral lists this ribosomal RNA (301 nucleotides) under uncultured bacterium. RNAcentral describes it as "partial 16S ribosomal RNA". It matches the Rfam family "Bacterial small subunit ribosomal RNA", at positions 509 to 809 of the family's 1533-position model. The record is from RNAcentral.
CAGCCGCCGCGGUAAUACGGAGGGGGCUAGCGUUGUUCGGAAUUACUGGGCGUAAAGCGCACGUAGGCGGCUUUGUAAGUUAGAGGUGAAAGCCCGGAGCUCAACUCCGGAAUUGCCUUUAAGACUGCAGAGCUAGCAGGUGAGAGAGGUGAGUGGAAUUCCGAGUGUAGAGGUGAAAUUCGUAGAUAUUCGGAAGAACACCAGUGGCGAAGGCGGCUCACUGGCUCAUACUGGACGCUGAGGUGCGAAAGCGUGGGGAGCAAACAGGAUUAGAUACCCCCGUAGUCCCUGUCUCUUAUAA